RNAcentral lists this ribosomal RNA (862 nucleotides) under Roussoella euonymi. RNAcentral describes it as "partial large subunit ribosomal RNA". It matches the Rfam family "Eukaryotic large subunit ribosomal RNA", at positions 69 to 949 of the family's 3401-position model. The record is from RNAcentral. Lineage: Eukaryota; Fungi; Ascomycota; Dothideomycetes; Pleosporales; Thyridariaceae.
CAGGGAUUGCCUCAGUAACGGCGAGUGAAGCGGCAACAGCUCAAAUUUGAAAUCUGGCCCUUUCAGGGUCCGAGUUGUAAUUUGUAGAGGGUGCUUUGGUGUUGGCCGUGGUCUAAGUUCCUUGGAACAGGACGUCACAGAGGGUGAGAAUCCCGUACGUGGCCGCCGGUCUUCACCGUGUAAAGCCCCUUCGACGAGUCGAGUUGUUUGGGAAUGCAGCUCUAAAUGGGAGAUAAAUUUCUUCUAAAGCUAAAUAUUGGCCAGAGACCGAUAGCGCACAAGUAGAGUGAUCGAAAGAUGAAAAGCACUUUGGAAAGAGAGUCAAAAAGCACGUGAAAUUGUUGAAAGGGAAGCGCUUGCAGCCAGACGUGCCCGCAGUUGCUCACCUGGGCUUUUGCCCGGGGCAUUCUUCUGCGGGCAGGCCAGCAUCAGUUCGGGCGGUUGGAUAAAGGCCUCUAUCACGUACCAUCCUUCGGGAUGUCCUUAUAGGGGAGGCGCAACACGACCAGCCUGAACUGAGGACCGCGCAUUUGCUAGGAUGCUGGCGUAAUGGCUGUAAGCGGCCCGUCUUGAAACACGGACCAAGGAGUCUAACAUCUAUGCGAGUGUUUGGGUGUAAAGCCCGGACGCGCAAUGAAAGUGAACGGAGGUGGGAACCCCUCGGGGUGCACCAUCGACCGAUCCUGAAGUCUUCGGAUGGAUUUGAGUAAGAGCAUAGCUGUUGGGACCCGAAAGAUGGUGAACUAUGCCUGAAUAGGGUGAAGCCAGGGGAAACCCUGGUGGAGGCUCGCAGCGGUUCUGACGUGCAAAUCGAUCGUCAAAUUUGGGCAUAGGGGCGAAAGACUAAUCGUACCAAAGAGUC